UGCAGUCGACGGCAGCACAGAAGAGCUUGCUCUUUGGGUGGCGAGUGGCGGACGGGUGAGUAAUGUCUGGGAAACUGCCCGAUGGAGGGGGAUAACUACUGGAAACGGUAGCUAAUACCGCAUAACGUCGCAAGACCAAAGUGGGGGACCUUCGGGCCUCACACCAUCGGAUGUGCCCAGAUGGGAUUAGCUAGUAGGUGGGGUAAUGGCUCACCUAGGCGACGAUCCCUAGCUGGUCUGAGAGGAUGACCAGCCACACUGGAACUGAGACACGGUCCAGACUCCUACGGGAGGCAGCAGUGGGGAAUAUUGCACAAUGGGCGCAAGCCUGAUGCAGCCAUGCCGCGUGUAUGAAGAAGGCCUUCGGGUUGUAAAGUACUUUCAGCGGGGAGGAAGGCGGUGAGGUUAAUAACCUYGCCGAUUGACGUUACCCGCAGAAGAAGCACCGGCUAACUCCGUGCCAGCAGCCGCGGUAAUACGGAGGGUGCAAGCGUUAAUCGGAAUUACUGGGCGUAAAGCGCACGCAGGCGGUCUGUUAAGUCAGAUGUGAAAUCCCCGGGCUUAACCUGGGAACUGCAUUUGAAACUGGCAGGCUUGAGUCUCGUAGAGGGGGGUAGAAUUCCAGGU
This 627-nucleotide ribosomal RNA is filed under the name Pantoea sp. RZ1MS7. RNAcentral's name for it is "bacterial SSU rRNA". It matches the Rfam family "Bacterial small subunit ribosomal RNA", at positions 56 to 674 of the family's 1533-position model. Lineage: Bacteria; Pseudomonadati; Pseudomonadota; Gammaproteobacteria; Enterobacterales; Erwiniaceae. The record is from RNAcentral.